Molecule: non-coding RNA, 135 nt
Organism: Triticum aestivum (bread wheat)
Lineage: Eukaryota; Viridiplantae; Streptophyta; Magnoliopsida; Poales; Poaceae
Source: Rfam
UUUCUACUCCCUCCGUCCGAAAAUACUUGUCAUCAAAAUGGAUAAAAAGAGAUGUAUCUAAAACUAAAAUACGUCUAGAUACAUUUCCUUUUAUCCAUUUUGAUGACAAGUAUUUCCGGAUGGAGGGAGUAUUUG